ACCCAAUAGAUACCCUGGUAGUCCCAGCUGUAAACGAUGCAGACUAGGUGUUUGGACGGCCACGUGCCGUUCUAGUGCCGCAGGGAAGCUGUUAAGUCUGCCGCCUGGGGAGUACGAUCGCAAGAUUGAAACUUAAAGGAAUUGGCGGGGAGCACCACAAGGGUGGAAGCUUGCGGUUUAAUUUAGGAGUCAACGCCGGAAACUACUCACCGGGAGGCGACAGCAGCAUGAAAGACCAGAUUGAAGGUCUUGCUAGACGAGCUGAGAGGAGGUGCAUGGCCGUCGCCAGUUCGUGCCGUGAGGUGUCCUGUUAAGUCAGGCAACGAUCGAGACCCGCGUCCUCUGUUGCAACCAGCUUUGUGCUGGGCACACUGAGGAGACCGCCACUGAUAAACGUGGAGGAACGGAGCGGG
RNAcentral lists this ribosomal RNA (413 nucleotides) under uncultured bacterium. RNAcentral describes it as "bacterial SSU rRNA". It matches the Rfam family "Archaeal small subunit ribosomal RNA", at positions 722 to 1135 of the family's 1478-position model. The record is from RNAcentral.